Molecule: transfer RNA, 95 nt
Filed under: Nasonia vitripennis (jewel wasp)
Lineage: Eukaryota; Metazoa; Arthropoda; Insecta; Hymenoptera; Pteromalidae
Also listed under: 1 other name
Rfam family: tRNA
About the family: Transfer RNA (tRNA) molecules are approximately 80 nucleotides in length. Their secondary structure includes four short double-helical elements and three loops (D, anti-codon, and T loops).
Source: Rfam by way of RNAcentral
CCUUCGAUAGCUCAGUUGGUAGAGCGGUGGACUGUAGUGGUCAAUAAACAAAUUCAGAUAUCCAUAGGUCGCUGGUUCAAAUCCGGCUCGAAGGA